UCCGCGCGCUGCAGUGACGUUUGCAUCCGCGAGAGUGACUGGAGUCUGAGCGCGCGGCGGAGCGGCGGGACACGGCCUCAACAGAGAGACCCACCAUGCGUGAAUAUAAGCUUGUGGUCCUGGGCUCUGGAGGCGUGGGGAAGUCUGCACUGACAGUUCAGUUUGUACAGGGAAUAUUUGUUGAAAAAUAUGAUCCCACAAUAGAAGACUCAUAUAGAAAG
Molecule: long non-coding RNA, 221 nt
Organism: Sinocyclocheilus anshuiensis
Lineage: Eukaryota; Metazoa; Chordata; Actinopteri; Cypriniformes; Cyprinidae
Exons: 3
Source: RefSeq, a predicted model, not a curated record